This 380-nucleotide ribosomal RNA is filed under the name uncultured eukaryote. RNAcentral describes it as "partial 18S ribosomal RNA". It matches the Rfam family "Eukaryotic small subunit ribosomal RNA", at positions 592 to 976 of the family's 1831-position model. The record is from RNAcentral.
CAAUAGCGUAUAUUAAAGUUGUUGCGGUUAAAAAGCUCGUAGUUGGAUUUCUGCCGAGGACGACCGGUCCGCCCUCUGGGUGUGUAUCUGGUUUGGCCUGGGCAUCUUCUUGGAGAACGUAGCUGCACUUGACUGUGUGGUGCGGUGUCCAGGACUUUUACUUUGAGGAAAUUAGAGUGUUUCAAGCAGGCACACGCCUUGAAUACAUUAGCAUGGAAUAAUAAGAUAGGACCUCGGUUCUAUUUUGUUGGUUUCUAGAGCUGAGGUAAUGAUUAAUAGGGAUAGUUGGGGGCAUUCGUAUUUAACCGUCAGAGGUGAAAUUCUUGGAUUUGUUAAAGACGGACUACUGCGAAAGCAUUUGCCAAGGAUGUUUUCAUUGA